AGCGAACGCUGGCGGCAGGCCUAACACAUGCAAGUCGAACGAACUCUUCGGAGUUAGUGGCGGACGGGUGAGUAACACGUGGGAACGUGCCUUUAGGUUCGGAAUAACUCAGGGAAACUUGCGCUAAUACCGAAUGUGCCCUUCGGGGGAAAGAUUUAUCGUCUUUAGAGCGGCCCGCGUCUGAUUAGCUAGUUGGUGAGGUAAAGGCUCACCAAGGCGACGAUCAGUAGCUGGUCUGAGAGGAUGAUCAGCCACAUUGGGACUGAGACACGGCCCAAACUCCUACGGGAGGCAGCAGUGGGGAAUCUUGCGCAAUGGGCGAAAGCCUGACGCAGCCAUGCCGCGUGAAUGAUGAAGGUCUUAGGAUUGUAAAAUUCUUUCACCGGGGACGAUAAUGACGGUACCCGGAGAAGAAGCCCCGGCUAACUUCGUGCCAGCAGCCGCCGUAA
RNAcentral lists this ribosomal RNA (449 nucleotides) under uncultured bacterium. Its description in RNAcentral is "partial 16S ribosomal RNA". It matches the Rfam family "Bacterial small subunit ribosomal RNA", at positions 29 to 523 of the family's 1533-position model. The record is from RNAcentral.